Molecule: long non-coding RNA, 1468 nt
Filed under: Linum usitatissimum (flax)
Lineage: Eukaryota; Viridiplantae; Streptophyta; Magnoliopsida; Malpighiales; Linaceae
Description: long non-coding RNA (LUSI_LNC002305)
Source: RNAcentral
CCCACUAGUUUUUAUGAUUUAACAUUAAAAAAUCUCGCCAACACAAAAAACUAUAUAAAAUGAAAAUCCACUUGCCAAGCUCAGCGACUUUUUUUGCUGUUUGAAUAAUUGGCUCACCGAGAACGCCUUUGAAAAGUUUUUGCAUCCAAGUGGCCGGCCGGAUGACGUUGGCAGUGAUGAUGCUUGGGUUGGGUGUGAAGAGUCUUAGCCGCCGUGGUUAAUUGAAUUAUAAUCAAACCUAAACCCUAAGUCUAGAAAUCGUUUAGAUUAAGAGCAGAGAAGAACAAAGAAGACAAUGACCCAAUCAAGAAUCUUCUUUGAUUCUGGCUAGAUCAAAGUGUGUUUAAAUAUGAAUUGGGCUUGACACUAGAAUACACCCGUUCGGUUUGAUCCGCUUCAGGUGUUCAUGUUCUGAAUCGAACUUUUUCCUCUUCAAUUCUUCACUUGUUCUGCAAGAGAAACGCCUGCAAACAAAGCAGAGUAAUAGACACAUAAAGCCAGAAAGCAGAGUAAUAGCACAAGACUUUUUAAUAAGGUUUGACUAAUCCUACUCUUCAUCCCAAAGGAUUCAUUAUAUUAUUUCUGUAUUUUUUAUUACUACUGAAAGCAGAAUAAGAUCCUGACUUCUACCCAAGUCUCUUGUUGCAAGAUUGAACACUAUCAAUCUACUAGCCGCAACCCGUUAUCACUAUUGCUCAGUCUAAAUCUCAGUUCUUUUGUGAAUGCUAUAUCUCUCGGACUAUAGAUUACAAAAGCUUGAGUUCUAACUUGCAGAAGGAGUCCAAUUUAUAAAUUUCUUCUAGUUGCUGUUUGAGAUGAUACUUUUCAUGAUUAACGGAAACUGGAAAGUGUCCGUUGCCUGAUUGAUUGUGAAGAUCUCGAGUUUGACGGAAAGUGUCUGUUGCUUGAUAAAUCUCGCAGAGGCUUGAUUCUGAUUUCUAGAAAUCUUGUCAGAAAGGGAAACACUAGCUGUUUCGUGAGGAAAAACUUGUUUCUUUAGGCUGUUUAAGAUUUCCUGAAAAAACACAGAUCAAGAGCAAAAUCCUUUCGAAAAGAUCGAGUGAAAAGCUGUGCGAUAAACUCAUGUAUAAUUCCUGACUCAACAGUCUCCCCCUUAAACUGAUAAUGACCCACAACUUGGAUUCUAAUGAUGGAAGAUAAAAACAAAUAAAGGGAGUCUUUUAUUUAUUGAAGGCAGUAGCGGAAAUAAAAACAAAAGAAGUAACUUCUACUUUGACACAACAGGGAAAGACGCUGAAAAAAAGAAGCAACUCCUGCUUUGACAAAGAAAAACCUGGAACAAUACAGAAGAAAAGACACCAGCAAAGGGAGUUGUUAAACUCUCCCACAAUAAGUAAACUGAUAAGGUACGAGAUAUGCAAACUGACAACUGAAUUAGUUGUAGAGAUUUUAUUGAAAUAGAUCUGAUCAUGAGGUCUUGAGAUCAGCCAUGAUCUCAACAGCAAAC